RNAcentral lists this ribosomal RNA (465 nucleotides) under uncultured bacterium. RNAcentral describes it as "partial 16S ribosomal RNA". It matches the Rfam family "Bacterial small subunit ribosomal RNA", at positions 28 to 507 of the family's 1533-position model. The record is from RNAcentral.
GACGAACGCUGGCGGCGUGCUUAACACAUGCAAGUCGAACGGAAAGGCCCUGCUUGCAGGGUCCUCGAGUGGCGAACGGGUGAGUAACACGUGGGUGAUCUGCCCUGCACUUCGGGAUAAGCCUGGGAAACUGGGUCUAAUACCGGAUAUGACCUUCCAUGUAGUGUGGGGGGUGGAAAGAUUUAUCGGUGUGGGAUGAGCCCGCGGCCUAUCAGCUUGUUGGUGGGGUAAUGGCCUACCAAGGCGUCGACGGGUAGCCGGCCUGAGAGGGUGGACGGCCACAUUGGGACUGAGAUACGGCCCAGACUCCUACGGGAGGCAGCAGUGGGGAAUAUUGCACAAUGGGCGGAAGCCUUAUGCAGCGACGCCGCGUGGGGGAUGACGGCCUUCGGGUUGUAAACCUCUUUCGACAGGGACGAAGCUUCGGUGACGGUACCUGUAUAAGAAGCACCGGCUAACUACGUG